AAGGCAUUACUGACUUGCUGCAUCAUGAAAUGCUAUCUGUGAGACUGUUCCAUUGAUCAAAUGUGGUAAUGUCGUGAUCCUUUCUGCUACUAAUGCUUAUGAAGUGGAAAAACAGUGGAAUUGUCUCCUAGAAUCGGCAAACACCCCCUUAGUCCAGUUGGCGCCAUUCUUCUCAAAGCAUCUUAGCACUAUGCUAUCAGACGUUUAACUUUCAGAAACUCUGUCCAGAUUGUGCCUUGACUAUCCAGAUCUAAGCAUAAGUUGUCACCGCAAGGCUAGAACAGGGCCUCUCAUCAUCAAUUUUACUGGAAAGGACCAGAUGAGAGUUGAGUUGGCUGUGAAGGUGGUUUCUCAGAAGUAUCAUGGAGCAUUUUCUGAAUUCAAUUUUGAGGGAGUUUUAAAGAAUUCAAAAGGAAGAGCUGUUUUUUCUCAAUAGGUGAUGCGCAGAUGUGUUCAACUGAUCAUUCGGAGGACCAAGUUUACUUCACCAGAAUCUAGGUGGUGUCAUUUCUCCAAGACAAAUAUACCAAGAAAUUGUUGGAGCACAUCACACGGAAGUAGUUGCAUAUGGAAUACAAUGCCUGGAGCUUUGAUUCGGAAUUCUCUGCUUUCCCCUGUUAAAUUGCUCUGUUAUUUUCUUUUUCGGUUUUUUUUUAGACAAAAGAUGAAAGAAUUAUCAUAUAGUUAUUUGUAUGACUUGACAAUCAAUGUGUCAUUCUAAUAACCAGAGAUCUCAUUAAACUCU
Long non-coding RNA from Dioscorea cayenensis subsp. rotundata (Guinea yam), 745 nucleotides. RefSeq lists it as uncharacterized. The transcript is spliced from 5 exons. NCBI's taxonomy places the organism in Eukaryota, Viridiplantae, Streptophyta, Magnoliopsida, Dioscoreales, Dioscoreaceae. The record is from RefSeq and is a predicted model, not a curated record.